This 491-nucleotide ribosomal RNA is filed under the name uncultured bacterium. Its description in RNAcentral is "partial 16S ribosomal RNA". It matches the Rfam family "Bacterial small subunit ribosomal RNA", at positions 29 to 506 of the family's 1533-position model. The record is from RNAcentral.
AGUGAACGCUGGCGGUAGGCCUAACACAUGCAAGUCGAACGGCAGCACAGUAAGAGCUUGCUCUUACGGGUGGCGAGUGGCGGACGGGUGAGGAAUACAUCGGAAUCUACUUUUUCGUGGGGGAUAACGUAGGGAAACUUACGCUAAUACCGCAUACGACCUACGGGUGAAAGCAGGGGAUCUUCGGACCUUGCGCGAUUGAAUGAGCCGAUGUCGGAUUAGCUAGUUGGCGGGGUAAAGGCCCACCAAGGCGACGAUCCGUAGCUGGUCUGAGAGGAUGAUCAGCCACACUGGAACUGAGACACGGGCCAGACUCCUACGGGAGGCAGCAGUGGGGAAUAUUGGACAAUGGGCGCAAGCCUGAUCCAGCCAUACCGCGUGGGUGAAGAAGGCCUUCGGGUUGUAAAGCCCUUUUGUUGGGAAAGAAAAGCAGCAGGUUAAUACCCCGCUGUUCGGACGGUACCCAAAGAAUAAGCACCGGCUAACUUCGU